Molecule: ribosomal RNA, 556 nt
Filed under: uncultured bacterium
Lineage: Bacteria
Description: bacterial SSU rRNA
Rfam family: Bacterial small subunit ribosomal RNA
Source: RNAcentral
UUUCUCGAGCGAGUGGCGAACGGGUGAGUAACGCGUGAGGACCUGCCUCAAAGAGGGGGACAACAGUUGGAAACGACUGCUAAUACCGCAUAAGUCGGCAUCGAAAAAGGAGCAAUCCGCUUUGAGAUGGCCUCGCGUCCGAUUAGCUAGUUGGUGAGGUAAUGGCCCACCAAGGCGACGAUCGGUAGCCGGACUGAGAGGUUGAACGGCCACAUUGGGACUGAGACACGGCCCAGACUCCUACGGGAGGCAGCAGUGGGGAAUAUUGCACAAUGGGGGAAACCCUGAUGCAGCGACACCGCGUGGAGGAAGAAGGUCUUCGGAUUGUAAACUCCUGUUGUUGAGGAAGAUAAUGACGGUACUCAACAAGGAAGUGACGGCUAACUACGUGCCAGCAGCCGCGGUAAAACGUAGGUCACAAGCGUUGUCCGGAAUUACUGGGUGUAAAGGGAGCGCAUGCGGGAGGACAAGUUGGAAGUGAAAUCUAUGGGCUCAACCCAUAAACUGCUUUCAAAACUGUUUUUCUUGAGUAGUGCAGAGGUAGGCGGAAUUCCCG